GUGCUAUUAACAUUAGUAGUUUCUUAGCCUGUAUUUCAGGCAUAGUGUACUUUUGCUUUUUUUUGCAGGCUACUGCCAUAGUUACUACAAAAUCCCAGGAUUUCCAGUUUAAUUUGUAAAAUCAAAUUUUCCUAAGAGCCAUACACUUUUAUUUUACACAAGCAUGUCUCACUUAUAUUAGCCACAAUGAUGCAGGCCAAGAUCUACAAAAGUACCUGUGUCCAGGUACAGACACUUGCUACUGUUCUCAGUCUACGGUCUUCUGCUGCAUAACAUGGAUUACAUAACAGGAGGCUCAAAUGCAUGCUUGAAUUUUAGAGGAGUAAGUGGCAUAAAAAGAACAUGUGCUUAGGAAGCUGGCAAAAUAUGGCUUUCUGACAUUCAUAUUUGAUUUGUCAGCAUAUUUGAUGUGUAUCAGUGCUUAUGUCAUUUCGUCCUGAUAACACAUCCUGAUAACAUUCACUCAGAGAUAUGCUUCCGAGAAUUGACAUGAUACAGCUUGAGAAGGAAGGAGCAAAGCUCCAUUUUCAUAUUGGAUGGUUUUGCUUCACAGAAAGCAAGAUGUGAUCCUGUUUGACUGCUGGGAUUACAGAUGUACCUUCUAAAGGAGUUACUCUUACAAGACAACGAAAGAGCUCUUCAUCCCAAGCAAAGAGCUGACCUGAGAAGUCCGCAGGAGGAUUAUUUCCUAUUUCAGGGCUGCAACAGGAAGGCUGGAGAAAAUACCUGCCUCAGCACAGUUUUUAACUUGGCAGGAAAAAAUAGAAAAUAAAAUUAAGGAGGUGGAAAACACAUUUUACAUUCCCUGAUGCUCAAAAGUCCUCAGAGACCUCACCUUUACUCGGAAAAAGAAUGGAGUCAGCUGAACUAUAAAAUCUGCUCAACUUUGAUGGACAGGUUGAUGUGAACAUUAUGGACAACCC
This 923-nucleotide long non-coding RNA is filed under the name Anas platyrhynchos platyrhynchos (common mallard). Its description in RNAcentral is "lncRNA (ENSAPLG00000018605.1)". Lineage: Eukaryota; Metazoa; Chordata; Aves; Anseriformes; Anatidae. The record is from RNAcentral.